Molecule: small RNA, 29 nt
Filed under: Bombyx mori (domestic silkworm)
Lineage: Eukaryota; Metazoa; Arthropoda; Insecta; Lepidoptera; Bombycidae
Description: ovarian small RNA-30909
Source: RNAcentral
UGAAGAUGCCAAAGAUUGACAGCUCAAAC